RNAcentral lists this ribosomal RNA (450 nucleotides) under uncultured bacterium. RNAcentral's name for it is "bacterial SSU rRNA". It matches the Rfam family "Bacterial small subunit ribosomal RNA", at positions 28 to 458 of the family's 1533-position model. The record is from RNAcentral.
GAUGAACGCUGGCGGCGUGCUUAACACAUGCAAGUCGAACGAAGCACUUUAUUUGAUUUCCUUCGGGACUGAUUAUUUUGUGACUGAGUGGCGGACGGGUGAGUAACGCGUGGGUAACCUGCCUUGUACAGGGGGAUAACAGUUGGAAACGGCUGCUAAUACCGCAUAAGCGCACAGCAUCGCAUGAUGCGGUGUGAAAAACUCCGGUGGUAUAAGAUGGACCCGCGUUGGAUUAGCUAGUUGGUGAGGUAACGGCCCACCAAGGCGACGAUCCAUAGCCGACCUGAGAGGGUGACCGGCCACAUUGGGACUGAGACACGGCCCAAACUCCUACGGGAGGCAGCAGUGGGGAAUAUUGCACAAUGGGCGAAAGCCUGAUGCAGCGACGCCGCGUGAGCGAAGAAGUAUUUCGGUAUGUAAAGCUCUAUCAGCAGGGAAGAUAAUGACGGU